AUGCACCGGGAGCCCGACGUGGGAUUCGACCCCGGGUCUCCAGGAUCGCGCCCUGGGCCAAAGAUGAGGAAAUGGAAAUCUCAAGGAAUCAGACCAUUUUUGCCAACCUUCCCUCCUGAGCCCUUUCACCUUGCACCAAUCCCAUACCAAGCAAUGCUCCUUCGAAGGGGAACACAAUGGCUGGAUUACACAGGUCAUGAUCUCCUGGACCAAGCCCUGCAUUGGACUCUGCGCUCAGAUUCUCUCUCCCUCUCCUGCCAGUUCACGCAUGCACAUGAUAUUUCUCUCAAAUAAAUAAAUAAAAUAUUUAAAAAGAAGGCAUCCAAUUUGGUAAGGAUUUUAAGAAUUUUAAAGGCAUGUUUUGUUACUUUCUAAUUCCCAUUUCUUUAUAUAGACCUGUUUUUCUCUCUCUGAAAGCUUUUAGAAUUGUAACUCUAUCCCAUCUGAUUAAAACUUUGUGAUGUUCUUUACUGGUAUGGAACAUAUAUUUUAUCCAUUAUGCUUCACACUCAAUAUCCCCUUCUACCCUAAAUUUUCAUUCUUUAUUUCUGAAAAUGUUUCUCAUAUAUUUCUUCAAUAAUUUUUCUUUAAUUUCUCUGUUCUCUCUUUCUAGAAGUCUGUUAGUACAAUGUAGAAUCAUGUUUGAUCCUCUCAUUUUCUUCUCUUUUCUAUCCAAUUUUCCAUCUCACUGACUCUCUGUUCUAAUUUCUAAAAGAUAUCUCCACUUUAUUCUCCAACUACUCCAUUGAUUUUUAUGUAACAGCAAUCUGAUCCUCUUUUGGAUAUAAUAAUUCUCCCAAAUCUCUGAGGAUGUUAAUCCUUCUGAUCUUGGUAUUUACUAUUUUUCCCUGGGGUUUCCUCUUAUUCCUAUCUGUUCUGGUCUCUAUGCUUAGAGGUUGUCUCUAAAUGCCUGGUGAUCCUUGAUUUUCUAAACAUGUUGAGUGAAGGCCUUGAAAACUGAUUGGAAGCUCUUUGUGCAAGUGGUAUGGUAGACUUUCCUAGAAAACAAUCUGACUAUUUUGUGAAGAAAUACCCGAUUGUCAAUAUAUGUGGGUCUUUUUUUAAAAGCCAGAACAGAGAGAAAUCCAAUCUUCAGUAUAAAAAAGUAUACAAAGUAUACAAUUCUGAUAGGUUGUAUCCUUGGAGGUGAGUGGGAGGAAUGGGAUCACUCAGUUAAUAUCCCUCUUUUUCAAAGACUUUUUUUUUUUUUUAACUCAUGAGAGACACAGAGAGAGAGGCAGAGACACAGGCAGAGGGAGAAGCAGGCCCUAUGCAGGGAGCCCAACGUGGGACUUGAUCUCGGGUCUCCAGGGUCACAGCUUGGGCUGAAGACGGCGCUAAACCGCUGAGCCACCUGGGCUGCCCUCAAUAUCCCUCUUUUUCUGCUACUCCCCAUCUAACAAUGUAUCUGAAAAUCUUGAGUUCCUUGGUUUAAUUCUCAGGUCAAUAAAUCUUCAGUAUUUUUCCUGGGAUUGUAUCUGAUUGUGUGAGGGCAGCAAGAAGACCUGUAUGAUCUAAAUGCUUUUAAAAUCGGGAUCCCUGGGUGGCGCAGCGGUUUGGCGCCUGCCUUUGGCCCAGGGCGUGAUCCUGGAGACCCGGGAUUGAAUCCCACGUCGGGCUCCCGGUGCAUGGAGCCUGCUUCUCCCUCUGCCUGUGUCUCUGCCUCUCUCUCUCUCUCUCUCUGUGACUAUCAUAAAUAAAUAAAAAUUGAAAAAAAAUAUUAAAAAUAAAUGCUUUUAAAAUAGAUGUUUAAGCAGUUUUGUAUCUCUGCCUCCAAAUAUAAUCAAUUUCACCAAUUCCUGAGCCUUUCAGGGGUAUGGAGGCAUGAAUUAGCUUCCUUUUUUGUUUAUGCCUUACUUAUUCAGCUUUCUCUGGUUUUCCAGUAAGUUAAAGCUUGUAUAUCUACUAUUAGGGAUCUAAAACUUAAAUGAUAUCUCUUAUCCACUAGUAUCCCUAAUGGCAUUUUCUUUGACCUUUUGGGUGUAUUCUCUUUGUUAGUUCUUUUCAGCAAUUAUUUUGCCAUCAUUUAACUGUGGUUUCAGGAGGCAACAGAGAAAUAUGUGCAUUCAGUCUAUAAUGUUUAAACAGAAUCACAUCUAAUAUUCUACAUGCUUUUAGUUUACAUAGUUGGCCAUAUUGAAGAAUACAAUUUAAUAUGCUAUUCUUUUAUGUAUUGUUUUAUUUAUUUAUUUUUGUAAAGAGAGAGAGAAAGAGAGGAGAAGGGGAGGGCAGAGAGGGAUAGAGAGAGAGAAUCUUAAGCAGGCUCUAUGCUCCGCGAAGAGCCCAAUAUGAGGCUAUAUCUCAUAACCCUAAGGUCACGACCU
This 2324-nucleotide long non-coding RNA is filed under the name Canis lupus familiaris (dog). RNAcentral's name for it is "lncRNA (ENSCAFG00040002572.1)". Lineage: Eukaryota; Metazoa; Chordata; Mammalia; Carnivora; Canidae. The record is from RNAcentral.